UACGGAGGGGGCGAGCGUUAUUCGGAAUCAUUGGGCUUAAAGGGCGCGUAGGCGGCGGUGUAAGUUGGAAGUGAAAUCCCAUCGGCUCAACCGUGGAAUUGCUCCCAGUACUGCAUCGCUCGAGGGGGAUAGGGGUUUGCGGAACUACCGGUGGAGCGGUGAAAUGUGUUGAUAUCGGUGGGAACGCCAGUGGCGAAAGCGGCAAACUUGACCCUUCCUGACGCUGAGGCGCGAAAGCUAGGGGAGCAAACGGG
RNAcentral lists this ribosomal RNA (254 nucleotides) under uncultured bacterium. RNAcentral describes it as "partial 16S ribosomal RNA". It matches the Rfam family "Bacterial small subunit ribosomal RNA", at positions 524 to 776 of the family's 1533-position model. The record is from RNAcentral.